GCGCGAGGAGGAGCUAAAAAGCCCCUAGGGGUGCAGCUCUGACCACCGUUGACGGUGUAAUCGCGGCGGAGAGGUGGCAGACUGGCGGCGAAGGGUGAGAGAGGUUUAGUUUUUUUUUCUUUUUUUUUCUCUGAUAGCCUAAUAGAGUUUUGAAAUAUUCUGGUUUUAGGGUUUUGAAGGGGCAUUUAUACUGGGCAUAAAACGACACCGUUUAGGCCCGUGCCAAUGGCUCUAAAACGGUGCCGUAUUGGCGUUAACCCGAUGACCCGACCCAGAUGCGACUAGAUCUGCGUAUUCUGGCAUGGGGAGGGAUAUUUGCGCGCUUAGUCCCUCGCUUUU
Molecule: long non-coding RNA, 339 nt
Filed under: Gossypium raimondii (Peruvian cotton)
Lineage: Eukaryota; Viridiplantae; Streptophyta; Magnoliopsida; Malvales; Malvaceae
Description: long non-coding RNA (GRAI_LNC001039)
Source: RNAcentral